Molecule: ribosomal RNA, 586 nt
Filed under: uncultured bacterium
Lineage: Bacteria
Description: partial 16S ribosomal RNA
Rfam family: Bacterial small subunit ribosomal RNA
Source: RNAcentral
UGGGGAAUUUUGGACAAUGGGCGAAAGCCUGAUCCAGCAAUGCCGCGUGUGUGAAGAAGGCCUUCGGGUUGUAAAGCACUUUUGUCCGGAAAGAAAUCCUUGGCUCUAAUACAGUCGGGGGAUGACGGUACCGGAAGAAUAAGCACCGGCUAACUACGUGCCAGCAGCCGCGGUAAUACGUAGGGUGCAAGCGUUAAUCGGAAUUACUGGGCGUAAAGCGUGCGCAGGCGGUUUGCUAAGACCGAUGUGAAAUCCCCGGGCUCAACCUGGGAACUGCAUUGGUGACUGGCAGGCUAGAGUAUGGCAGAGGGGGGUAGAAUUCCACGUGUAGCAGUGAAAUGCGUAGAGAUGUGGAGGAAUACCGAUGGCGAAGGCAGCCCCCUGGGCCAAUACUGACGCUCAUGCACGAAAGCGUGGGGGAGCAAACAGGAUUAGAUACCCUGGUAGUCCACGCCCUAAACGAUGUCAACUAGUUGUUGGGGAUUCAUUUCCUUAGUAACGUAGCUAACGCGUGAAGUUGACCGCCUGGGGAGUACGGUCGCAAGAUUAAAACUUAAAUAAAUUGACGGGGUCAUAGCUGUUUCCU